UACGGAAGGCAGCAGUAGGGAAUCUUCCGCAAUGGACGAAAGUCUGACGGAGCAACGCCGCGUGAACGAAGAAGGCUUUCGGGUCGUAAAGUUCUGUUGUUAGGGAAGAACAAGUACCAGAGUAACUGCUGGUACCUUGACGGUACCUAACCAGAAAGCCACGGCUAACUACGUGCCAGCAGCCGCGGUAAUACGUAGGUGGCAAGCGUUGUCCGGAAUUAUUGGGCGUAAAGCGCGCGCAGGUGGUUCCUUAAGUCUGAUGUGAAAGCCCACGGCUCAACCGUGAGGGUCAUUGGAAACUGGGGAACUUGAGUGCAGAAGAGGAAAGUGGAAUUCCACGUGUAGCGGUGAAAUGUGUAGAGAUGUGGAGGAACACCAGUGGCGAAGGCGACUUUUCUGGUCUGUAACUGACACUGAGGCGCGAAAGCGUGGGGAGCGAACAGGGAUUAGAUACC
RNAcentral lists this ribosomal RNA (455 nucleotides) under uncultured bacterium. RNAcentral's name for it is "bacterial SSU rRNA". It matches the Rfam family "Bacterial small subunit ribosomal RNA", at positions 340 to 786 of the family's 1533-position model. The record is from RNAcentral.